RNA transcript from Eucalyptus grandis, 3243 nucleotides. It is a transcript of the gene named disease resistance protein RPV1, with no coding region annotated. The record is from RefSeq and is a predicted model, not a curated record. Lineage: Eukaryota; Viridiplantae; Streptophyta; Magnoliopsida; Myrtales; Myrtaceae. The transcript is spliced from 3 exons.
ACUACCAGAUUUCACAAACAUGAAGGAACUCUGUGCCCUAUAUCUUCGCUCCAUAAAUAUCGUCAGGUUACCUCCCUCAAUUAGAAUCCUUGGGAACCUCCAUUUUUUAUGCUUAGACAAUUGCAAUCUGGAGGAUGUGGCAAUACUUGGUGAGCUUGAAGCAUUGCAGAUUCUCAGCAUCACAUGGUCUCCAAUUUCUAGGCUGCCUGAAGAAAUCGGGAAACUAAUGAAACUGAGAUUGUUGAAUCUGAACAACUGCCGAUGGCUUAAGAUAAUCGAGCCUGGAGCCCUAAAAGGCUUAAUCAACUUGGAAGAGUUAUAUAUGAAGAAUAGCCUUGAUCCGUGGAUGGGCAAGCAUGAAGAACUGUCAGAAUCGUGUGUUGCUGGGCUUGCCGAGUUGAAGAACAUGACAAAGCUAGCAUUUCUAGAAAUAUCGAUUCUUGAUCCCAUCAUACUCUUGGAGGAUGUUGACCUACCAUUUGAGAACCUGGACAAAUUUUGUAUCAGCAUAGGACAUGCUAUGCAGAUGGAAUAUGAAGGUUUGACAACCAUGAAUCUCAAUUUGCAAGGCUGCGGUAGUAUUCUUUCAAAAAAAGGGGUUGAGAAAAAUCUGCAGAAGACUCAACGCUUAUAUUUAAGCAACUUGAGUGAGUUCGAAGAGAGCCCUUGCAAAUUGUGCACCCAAGGAUUCCGAGAAGUGAAGUAUCUCAACAUUAAAGACAGCCCCUCAAUCAAGUACAUUGCCGAUUCAUCCAAUGCCUAUUCAUCCAAUGGCCUCCCUCUCAUUGCUUUUGGGAAGUUAGAGUCUUUUUUCCUUCAAAAUCUUAUUAAUUUGGAGAAGAUAUGCCAUGGCCCCAUCGCGCCAGAGUGCUUCAACAAAUUGAAAGCCGUGAGGGUCGAACAGUGCGGCAAAUUAAAAUACUUGUGGUGUCUUUCAGAUGUGCAAGGACUUAACCAGUUGGAAGAGAUUAAAGUGUCGAAUUGUGACUCAAUGCAAUCCAUUGUCACACAUGAUGCAAGAGAAGAUAUAGUUUCUACCAACAACAGAGUUGAGUUGCCUAAAGUACGUGAUCUGGUAUUGUACGAGUUACCAAAUAUGACAAGCUUCUGUCAUACUUCAAUUCAGGUUUCAUUGCCUCACUUGGAAUCCCUGACAAUGGUUGGACUCCUUGGCCUAGAAAAGAUACUCUACAGUAAACGUUCAUUAAAAUACAGCAAUCUAAAAAAGCUAACUAUAAGGGAGUCUAAAUCCACGUUGAAGAGUAUUCUGAAAUUAGAUUGGAUAUUGAAGCUACCGAAUUUGGAAUCAAUGAUGAUUGAAAUCUCUCCAUCAGUAGAAGUAGUUUUCGACUUGGAGGAGCUGGAGGAGCUAGAAGUCAUCGAAGAUGUCGAGAUUCUCUCUCGUUUAACUGAUUUGACAUUACAUGAGUUACCAAACCUGCAUUGCGUGUGUAAACAGGAUGUAAAAUUACAAGGAAUAUCGAUACUUCGAAACCUGAGGGACCUCUAUAUCUAUAAAAUAGGCCUAUCAUUUCUUUUUUUCAGUGUCUAUGGCUAAAUGUUUGAGAGGAAUUAGAACCAUUACAGUGUCGAAUUGUCCAAAUAUGAAGGCGGUGAUUGUGGAUGAAGGAAGAAAUGAAGGGACAUAUGAUAUUAUAGAGUUCCCACUAUUGGAGUAUCUAUCUAUAUAUGAUUGUCGCAUGGAGAAAUUCUUCUCAUAUCCUUGUGGAAAGAAAGAGCCAGUAACCACUACUUCAGAUUCACAAGAUGCUAACUCCGAUUCCUUCUUUGAUCAAAAGGUUACGUUUCCUCAUAUAACAGUUCUGGAAAUUGAUGGCCUUCAGUGCAAAGAGCUAUGGAACGAUCAAAUCCCCACCGAUUCCUUUCGAAGUUGGAAUCUCUUAAAUUGAAGAACUGUGAAAACCUCCAAUGUAUUGCCCCACCCCAAAUGUGGAAGGUGCUCCAACGUUGUCUCAAGAAUCUUGAAGUGAUUUCAUGCCAUUCGAUCGAGAUCAUAUAUGAAGGACAUGGGAUGGAUACAGAGGGUGGUGAAUUGAGGGUGCUGCUUUUGCGUGAUCUCAAAAAAAUGAAGCACAUUUGGCAGUCCAAAGGUCUCCCAAACAUCCCGUUCCCAAAUUUGAGAGAUGUAAAAGUCGCGAGGUGCCCCCGUUUGGAAAUGCUUUUCCCUACCUUCACGGCGAAAUUUCUUGGGCAAAUCAAAGAGCUGAUGGUGGAGUCAUGUGAAGAUAUGGAACAAAUUGCUGGCCAUGAAAAAUGGGAAGAAGCGACUGGCACCACAAUCACCUUCUCCGAGUUAACUGCUCUUAGACUUUUCAUGUUGCCGAAAUUCAAAAGCUUCUUACCUGAGAAAUACUCUCUGAAAUUCCCAUGCUCCGAGGACUUCCCAUCCUUGCGAGUCUUGAGUAUAGUAAGCUGUGGAGCAGAGCUAGACCAAGUCCUCGAUAACAGGUAUCGCCACCAACAGGAUCGAGAAUUUCACGAGUAUUCAUAAGACGUGAGGUAUUCCUUCAAUAUUUCAUUGCUUUGGUUUGGCUCUCUGUUCCUUUGAAUCGAAAAUCAGUUUGUAUUAGCUAAGACACAAUUCUCAGUGAGACCCACAUGUGCUCUACAUCACGUUGCCCUCUCUCUUCCUCUCUCUCUCUCUCUCUCUCUCUAGCUCUCUUUCUUACUCUCUUCAACUAACGAUCUAUCGAUUCCCUUUUAUCCAUCCACCAACAGCCGCCGCCAAGGGUCCAUCGCUGGCCACCACACGACAUGGCACACUGAGAAGGGACAAAGAACAGAGAGCAUUGAUCGAAGGCUCUCAAUGAUUUCGAUUGAAUCCUUUCCUCUCACUUUGCUACUGGUCGUCACCGCUUCCCGAUCAUCACUUGUUCCGCGGGCAGCAAAGAAGUUCUGUAAUGCUGGAGUGCUCGAACUUCGGUCACGACUGCCUGCUUCAACGAUUCCAUUCCUUGAUGUUGCUUCUGUUAUUUCUUUACUCAUAUCCGAUCUCAAUUGCUAUAGCUAAUCGUUCUCUAUUCAACCAAACCAUAUAUGCUCUGUUUUCCGUUCCUAUUGCUACUGUAUGUGUGCAAAUCGACUUUGAUUGAAGGGUUGUAUUGAUGAUUUGAAGCAGUGCUCCUCGGCCUAAAUUAAUGUAUGCAACUUGUUUGAUAAAAUUCCUGAACUAAGUCGGUGUGUAUCUUUUAUUUAGUUUUUGACAGAGAAUUCCCUUGAUUA